Daucus carota subsp. sativus is the source of this 1061-nucleotide long non-coding RNA. RefSeq lists it as uncharacterized. The transcript has 2 exons. NCBI's taxonomy places the organism in Eukaryota, Viridiplantae, Streptophyta, Magnoliopsida, Apiales, Apiaceae. The record is from RefSeq and is a predicted model, not a curated record.
UUAAUAAAAUUCAUUCCGUCUAAUUAUUUCACACGUUUUCCCUCUCUUUUGCUUUGCUUUCCCUCUCUUUCGAUUAUACUUUUUCCUCCAACAUUUUUGUGAACAAGAAUAUAUAUACUCUGGGUAGGUUCUUUUCACAACAUCUGACUAUCCAUUUUCUCUUCUUCACAGCAUGAUUUUUUUUGUCAAAGAUUUUUAAACUUCAGAUUGUUAAAUUGAUGGACUUUACAAACAGAUCAAAUGAUUGUCGCUCAUCACCACCGGCUAUUGUUGCUGACCAGAAUCACCAAUCUCAGGUGCACUUAAGGAUGAAUUACAGUGAACAAGUACCUUCUUUUCCAAAUAUGCUUGGUGCAUAAUGUUUUGUAUAUGAUGAAUUUGCCAGACCAAAUUUAAGUACUCAUCUCACACAAAGUCACGAAGAAGAAAAUGCUGAAGUAAUAUCAAUCUCAUCUCAAGACUUUAGCUCACAAAAGGUGAAGGAGAAAAGACAACGAACCAGAAACUUUAGUAAGCAAGAGGAUGAGCUACUAAUCUCAGCAUGGCAAAAUGUAUCAUUUGAUCCUAUCACAGGGGUUGAUCAAAAAAAUGAAACUUACUGGCAAAGAGUGCACAUCUACUUUAUGAAACAUAAAGACUUUCAAUCUGAUCGUACCAGCUGUUCAUUGAUGCAUCGUUGGUCCGUGAUACAACUUGCCGUCAAUAAAUUUCAAGGAUAUUAUAACCAAGUAGAAGGAAAAAGUGGGUGCUCUGAAGCUGAUAAGAUAAUUUUUUUCCUGGUAAUUUGUAUUUAAUAGACUACUCACAUGAAUGAUACAAGAGUUGUGGAUUUUUUAACAGAUUAAUAAUGCGAAGGAUAUGUAUAAAAAUCUUUGCAAACACAACUUUUCUCUUGAGCACUGCUGGAAUCUACUGAGAUAUUUGCCUAAAUGGAAUAUUGAGUUUGGUACAAAGAAAGCAAAAAUUUUCCAAAAGGACAGUCCAAAAAUUUCUUCUCCCUCAACUCCGGAUUGUGAAAUGUUAGGAAACUCAGCCUUUGAAAGGCCAAUUGGGAGGAAAGC